This 1521-nucleotide ribosomal RNA is filed under the name metagenome. Its description in RNAcentral is "bacterial SSU rRNA". It matches the Rfam family "Bacterial small subunit ribosomal RNA". The record is from RNAcentral.
GAGUUUGAUCAUAGCUCAGAUUGAACGCUGGCGGCAGGCCUAACACAUGCAAGUCGAACGGUAACAGGAAGAAGCUUGCUUCUUUGCUGACGAGUGGCGGACGGGUGAGUAAUGUCUGGGAAACUGCCUGAUGGAGGGGGAUAACUACUGGAAACGGUAGCUAAUACCGCAUAACGUCGCAAGACCAAAGAGGGGGACCUUCGGGCCUCUUGCCAUCGGAUGUGCCCAGAUGGGAUUAGCUAGUAGGUGGGGUAACGGCUCACCUAGGCGACGAUCCCUAGCUGGUCUGAGAGGAUGACCAGCCACACUGGAACUGAGACACGGUCCAGACUCCUACGGGAGGCAGCAGUGGGGAAUAUUGCACAAUGGGCGCAAGCCUGAUGCAGCCAUGCCGCGUGUAUGAAGAAGGCCUUCGGGUUGUAAAGUACUUUCAGCGGGGAGGAAGGGAGUAAAGUUAAUACCUUUGCUCAUUGACGUUACCCGCAGAAGAAGCACCGGCUAACUCCGUGCCAGCAGCCGCGGUAAUACGGAGGGUGCAAGCGUCAAUCGGAAUUACUGGGCGUAAAGCGCACGCAGGCGGUUUGUUAAGUCAGAUGUGAAAUCCCCGGGCUCAACCUGGGAACUGCAUCUGAUACUGGCAAGCUUGAGUCUCGUAGAGGGGGGUAGAAUUCCAGGUGUAGCGGUGAAAUGCGUAGAGAUCUGGAGGAAUACCGGUGGCGAAGGCGGCCCCCUGGACGAAGACUGACGCUCAGGUGCGAAAGCGUGGGGAGCAAACAGGAUUAGAUACCCUGGUAGUCCACGCCGUAAACGAUGUCGACUUGGAGGUUGUGCCCUUGAGGCGUGGCUUCCGGAGCUAACGCGUUAAGUCGACCGCCUGGGGAGUACGGCCGCAAGGUUAAAACUCAAAUGAAUUGACGGGGGCCCGCACAAGCGGUGGAGCAUGUGGUUUAAUUCGAUGCAACGCGAAGAACCUUACCUGGUCUUGACAUCCACAGAACUUUCCAGAGAUGGAUUGGUGCCUUCGGGAACUGUGAGACAGGUGCUGCAUGGCUGUCGUCAGCUCGUGUUGUGAAAUGUUGGGUUAAGUCCCGCAACGAGCGCAACCCUUAUCUUUUGUUGCCAGCGGUCCGGCCGGGAACUCAAAGGAGACUGCCAGUGAUAAACUGGAGGAAGGUGGGGAUGACGUCAAGUCAUCAUGGCCCUUACGACCAGGGCUACACACGUGCUACAAUGGCGCAUACAAAGAGAAGCGACCUCGCGAGAGCAAGCGGACCUCAUAAAGUGCGUCGUAGUCCGGAUUGGAGUCUGCAACUCGACUCCAUGAAGUCGGAAUCGCUAGUAAUCGUGGAUCAGAAUGCCACGGUGAAUACGUUCCCGGGCCUUGUACACACCGCCCGUCACACCAUGGGAGUGGGUUGCAAAAGAAGUAGGUAGCUUAACCUUCGGGAGGGCGCUUACCACUUUGUGAUUCAUGACUGGGGUGAAGUCGGAACAAGGUAACCGUAGGGGAACCUGCGGUUG